RNAcentral lists this ribosomal RNA (465 nucleotides) under uncultured bacterium. Its description in RNAcentral is "partial 16S ribosomal RNA". It matches the Rfam family "Bacterial small subunit ribosomal RNA", at positions 28 to 507 of the family's 1533-position model. The record is from RNAcentral.
GACGAACGCUGGCGGCGUGCUUAACACAUGCAAGUCGUACGGUAAGGCCCUUUCGGGGGUACACGAGUGGCGAACGGGUGAGUAACACGUGAGUAACCUGCCCACAACUUUGGGAUAACGCUAGGAAACUGGUGCUAAUACUGGAUAUGUGCCCCUGCUGCAUGGUGGGGGUUGGAAAGCUCCGGCGGUUGUGGAUGGACUCGCGGCCUAUCAGCUUGUUGGUGGGGUAGUGGCCUACCAAGGCGGCGACGGGUAGCCGGCCUGAGAGGGUGACCGGCCACAUUGGGACUGAGAUACGGCCCAGACUCCUACGGGAGGCAGCAGUGGGGAAUAUUGCACAAUGGGCGCAAGCCUGAUGCAGCAACGCCGCGUGCGGGAUGACGGCCUUCGGGUUGUAACCCGCUUUCAGCAGGGACGAAGCUUUUUGUGACGGUACCUGCAGAAGAAGCACCGGCUAACUACGUG